GACGAACGCUGGCGGCGUGCUUAACACAUGCCAGUCGAACGGAAAGGCCCUGCUUUUGUGGGGUGCUCGAGUGGCGAACGGGUGAGUAACACGUGAGUAACCUGCCCUUGACUUUGGGAUAACUUCAGGAAACUGGGGCUAAUACCGGAUAGGAGCUCCUGCUGCAUGGUGGGGGUUGGAAAGUUUCGGCGGUUGGGGAUGGACUCGCGGCUUAUCAGCUUGUUCGUGGGGUAGUGGCUUACCAAGGCUUUGACGGGUAGCCGGCCUGAGAGGGUGACCGGCCACAUUGGGACUGAGAUACGGCCCAGACUCCUACGGGAGGCAGCAGUGGGGAAUAUUGCACAAUGGGCGGAAGCCUGAUGCAGCAACGCCGCGUGCGGGAUGACGGCCUUCGGGUUGUAAACCGCUUUCGCCUGUGACGAAGCGUGAGUGACGGUAAUGGGUAAAGAAGCACCGGCUAACUACGUG
RNAcentral lists this ribosomal RNA (468 nucleotides) under uncultured bacterium. Its description in RNAcentral is "partial 16S ribosomal RNA". It matches the Rfam family "Bacterial small subunit ribosomal RNA", at positions 28 to 507 of the family's 1533-position model. The record is from RNAcentral.